Molecule: ribosomal RNA, 350 nt
Filed under: uncultured bacterium
Lineage: Bacteria
Description: bacterial SSU rRNA
Rfam family: Bacterial small subunit ribosomal RNA
Source: RNAcentral
UGGGGAAUAUUGGACAAUGGGGGCAACCCUGAUCCAGCAAUGCCGCGUGUGUGAUGAAGGCCCUAGGGUUGUAAAGCACUUUCACUGGUGAAGAUGAUGACGGUAACCAGAGAAGAAGCCCCGGCUAACUUCGUGCCAGCAGCCGCGGUAAUACGAAGGGGGCGAGCGUUGUUCGGAAUUACUGGGCGUAAAGGGCGCGUAGGCGGCUCUUUAAGUUAGGCGUGAAAGCCCCGGGCUCAACCUGGGAACUGCGCUUAAGACUGAAGAGCUAGAAAACGGAAGAGGGUAGUGGAAUUCCCAGUGUAGAGGUGAAAUUCGUAGAUAUUGGGAAGAACACCAGUGGCGAAAGC